This 1240-nucleotide ribosomal RNA is filed under the name metagenome. RNAcentral describes it as "bacterial LSU rRNA". It matches the Rfam family "Bacterial large subunit ribosomal RNA", at positions 1564 to 2815 of the family's 2925-position model. The record is from RNAcentral.
UGAGUACGAGAUGCUACGGCAUCGAAGCAGUCUAUGUCAUACUUCCAAGAAAAGCUCGCACUGUCAUAAACAAAUAAUGCCUGUACCAUAACCGACACAGGUGGGUAGGUAGAGUAUACUAAGGGGCGCGAGAUAACUCUCUCUAAGGAACUCGGCAAAAUGACUCCGUAACUUCGGGAGAAGGAGUGCCUUAUUUAUAAGGUUGCAAUAACAAGAUCCAAGCAACUGUUUAUCAAAAACACAGGUCUCCGCUAAGUCGUAAGACGAUGUAUGGGGGCUGACGCCUGCCCAGUGCCAGAAGGUUAAAGAAGUUGGUUAGCAUUAGCGAAGCUGAUAACUGAAGCCCUGGUGAACGGCGGCCGUAACAAUAACGGUCCUAAGGUAGCGAAAUUCCUUGUCGGGUAAGUUCCGACCCGCACGAAAGGCGUAAUGAUUUGGAUACUGUCUCGGAGAGGGGCUCGGUGAAAUAGACUUGUCUGUGAAGAUGCGGACUACCUGCACCAGGACAGAAAGACCCUAUGAAGCUUUACUGUAACUUGAAAUUGAAAUUGGACUUUAUUUGCGCAGCAUAGGUGGGAGGCGUUGAAAAUAUUCUCGCGGGAAUAUUAGAGCCAUCAGUGAGAUACCACUCUUGUAAUGUUAGAUUUCUAACUUUGUAUCAUUAUCUGGUCAAAGAACAGUUUCAGGCGGCAGUUUGACUGGGGCGGUCGCCUCCUAAACGGUAACGGAGGCGCACAAAGGUUUCCUCUGAACGGGUAGAAAUCGUAUCUAGAGUGUAAAGGCAUAAGGAAGCUUGACUGUGAGACCUACAAGUCGAGCAGGGACGAAAGUCGGUCUUAGUGAUCUGACGGUGCUGAGUGGAAAGGCCGUCACUCAACGGAUAAAAGUUACUCUAAGGAUAACAGGCUGAUCUCCCCCAAGAGUUCACAUCGACGGGGAGGUUUGGCACCUCGAUGUCGGCUCAUCGCAUCCUGGGGCGGUAGUACGUCCCAAGGGUUGGGCUGUUCGCCCAUGAAAGCGGUACGCGAGCUGGGUUCAGAACGUCGUGAGACAGUUCGUCCAUAUCCGGUGUAGGCGUUAGAAUAUUGAGAGGAGCCUUCUUUAGUACGAGAGGACCGAGAAGGACAUACCUCUGGUGUACCAGUUAUCGUGCCAACGGUAAACGCUGGGUAGCUAUGUAUGGAGAGGAUAACCGCUGAAAGCAUCUAAGUGGGAAGCCCACCUCAAGAUAAGUAUUCUC